AGAAUAUAAGAACCCGUUUCUUAACUUUUAACUAAAAAAACUAAGAACCGGUUCUUAGCUUUUUUAGUUAAAAAUUAAGAGACGUGUUAUAUAUUCC
RNAcentral lists this microRNA precursor (97 nucleotides) under Brassica napus (rape). Its description in RNAcentral is "MIR9563 microRNA precursor family". It matches the Rfam family "MIR9563 microRNA precursor family". The record is from Rfam by way of RNAcentral. Lineage: Eukaryota; Viridiplantae; Streptophyta; Magnoliopsida; Brassicales; Brassicaceae.